AUCAACUUUCGAUUGGUAGGAUAGAGGCCUACCAUGGUGGUAACGGGUAACGGGGUGUUAGGGCACGACACCGGAGAGGGAGCCUGAGAAACGGCUACCACAUCCAAGGAUGGCAGCGGGCGCGCAAAUUACCCAAUCCCGACACGGGGAGGUAGUGACAAUAAAUAACAAUACGGGGUUCUUUCGGAUUUCGUAAUUGGAAUGAGUACAAUUUAAAUCUCUUAACGAGGAACAAUUGGAGGGCAAGUCUGGUGCCAGCAGCCGCGGUAAUUCCAGCUCCAAUAGCGUAUAUUAAAGUUGCUGCAGUUAAAAAGCUCGUAGUUGAAUUUCGGGACCAUCAUGUCGGUCGUGCCUCGGUACGUACUGGCAUUGUUGGUUUCUCCCUUCUGACGAACCAUGAUGUCAUUUAUUUGGUGUUGUGGGGAAUCAGGACUGUUACUUUGAAAAAAUUAGAGUGUUUAAAGCAGGCUCACGCUUGAAUACAUUAGCAUGGAAUAAUGAAAUAGGACGUUUGAUUCUAUUUUGUUGGUUUCUAGGAUCGACGUAAUGAUUAAUAGGGAUAGUUGGGGGCAUUAGUAUUCAAUUGUCAGAGGUGAAAUUCUUGGAUUUAUUGAAGACUAACUACUGCGAAAGCAUUUGCCAAGGAUGUUUUCAUUAAUCAAGAACGAAAGUUAGGGGAUCGAAGACGAUCAGAUACCGUCGUAGUCUUAACCAUAAACUAUGCCGACUAGGGAUCGGAUGAUGUUAAUUUUUUAAUGACUCAUUCGGCGCCCUACGGGAAACCAAAGUG
This 790-nucleotide ribosomal RNA is filed under the name uncultured Glomus. RNAcentral describes it as "SSU rRNA". It matches the Rfam family "Eukaryotic small subunit ribosomal RNA", at positions 314 to 1105 of the family's 1831-position model. Lineage: Eukaryota; Fungi; Glomeromycota; Glomeromycetes; Glomerales; Glomeraceae. The record is from RNAcentral.